RNAcentral lists this transfer RNA (72 nucleotides) under Camelus bactrianus (Bactrian camel). It matches the Rfam family "tRNA". From Rfam's summary of the family: Transfer RNA (tRNA) molecules are approximately 80 nucleotides in length. Their secondary structure includes four short double-helical elements and three loops (D, anti-codon, and T loops). Lineage: Eukaryota; Metazoa; Chordata; Mammalia; Artiodactyla; Camelidae. RNAcentral also lists the same sequence under 1 other name. The record is from Rfam by way of RNAcentral.
GAGGGUAUAGUUCAGUGGUAGAGCAUGUGCUUAGCAUGCACAGGGUCCUGGGUUCAAUUCCCAGUAUUUCUA